RNAcentral lists this ribosomal RNA (578 nucleotides) under Oidiodendron periconioides. Its description in RNAcentral is "partial 28S ribosomal RNA". It matches the Rfam family "Eukaryotic large subunit ribosomal RNA", at positions 56 to 655 of the family's 3401-position model. Lineage: Eukaryota; Fungi; Ascomycota; Leotiomycetes; Myxotrichaceae. The record is from RNAcentral.
GAACCAACAGGGAUUGCCUCAGUAACGGCGAGUGAAGCGGCAACAGCUCAAAUUUGAAAUCUGGCCCUCUCAGGGUCCGAGUUGUAAUUUGGAGAAGAUGCUUCGGGUGUGGCCCCGGUCUAAGUUCCUUGGAACAGGACGUCACAGAGGGUGAGAAUCCCGUACGUGACCGGUGGCCGCCCCCGUGUGAAGCUCUUUCGACGAGUCGAGUUGUUUGGGAAUGCAGCUCAAAAUGGGUGGUAAAUUUCAUCUAAAGCUAAAUAUUGGCCAGAGACCGAUAGCGCACAAGUAGAGUGAUCGAAAGAUGAAAAGCACUUUGGAAAGAGAGUUAAACAGUACGUGAAAUUGUUGAAAGGGAAGCGCUUGCAACCAGACUUGCGCGCGGCCGAUCAUCCGGUGUUCGCACCGGUGCACUCGGUCGCGCUCAGGCCAGCAUCGGUUUGGGUGGCUGGAUAAAGGCCUCGGGAAUGUGGCUCCCCUCGGGGAGUGUUAUAGCCCGAGGUGCAAUGCAGCCUACCCGGACCGAGGACCGCGCUUCGGCUAGGAUGCUGGCGUAAUGGUUGUAAGCGACCCGUCUU